UGGGACAGAUAGCUCCAGAGAAAAAUAGCC
This 30-nucleotide non-coding RNA is filed under the name Mus musculus (house mouse). The record is from RNAcentral. Lineage: Eukaryota; Metazoa; Chordata; Mammalia; Rodentia; Muridae.